This is a long non-coding RNA of Pyrgilauda ruficollis (rufous-necked snowfinch), 667 nucleotides long. RefSeq lists it as uncharacterized. The record is from RefSeq and is a predicted model, not a curated record. The transcript has 6 exons. Lineage: Eukaryota; Metazoa; Chordata; Aves; Passeriformes; Passeridae.
AGGCCUGAGGGGGGAAUGUGGGGGGUUUUCAGGGGGGUGCGGCGGCCUCCAUAACCGCGUUCCCUCUCCCCUGGCUGAUGGGGAGCAGCCUGGAGCCCUCCAGGCGCCGUUCCCCUCACGGUGCAGUCGCUGUGUCCGUCCCUGAGGGGUUCCGUGAGGGGUCCGCGCCUUCCCCAGGGGCUGCUCGGGGAUGAGUCUCUCACAGACCUGUGCUGAUGGCGCGGUGAAGAUUGUAAAGUUCUCUGAGGGCUCGUCCUGCCCCGGUUCGGGAGUUGGCUGCGCCAUGUUUGUAACAUUUUGUGAUCCUAAGUCCUUUCUUUUUGUUUCAUUUUUAGUAUUUUUGCCCGCGAAACGAUGCUGGUGCCUGAGGCAUGAGCCAUGGGGACUGAGUGGGAGAAGCUGCAGCCCAGGGUGAUCUUCGGGCCACCAUGAAGUGACCGCAGUGCCCCCAACUCAGUGCGAGAUGCCUCACCCUGAGGUGACCCCUGGACCGCAGUGCCCCCAGCUCAGCCCCAGGACCCCCCCACACUGACCCCCCAGAUUCCACCACAGCCACGGGAGCUGCGGGACCCCUGGGCCUGCGUUCUGCCCCCCCGGGGGUCCUCACUGGGGUGACCCCCACCCCCACGGGGGAAUUUUGGGGGUUUUUAAUCCAAUUCGUGAAUUU